CUACUCUGAAGAGAUUAUCUCUUUCAGAUAAUAAGUUAAAUGGAAGUAUUCCAGAUGCCUUAUCCAUAUUAACUCAACUAACAGAAUUGUCAUUAAACAAUAACCAUUUAACUGGACAAAUCCCAUAUGUGUUUCUACAAUUCACCAGUUUGACAAAUAUGAAUCUGUCAGGUAAUAACUUGAGUGGU
Arachis ipaensis is the source of this 188-nucleotide non-coding RNA. The record is from RefSeq and is a predicted model, not a curated record. Lineage: Eukaryota; Viridiplantae; Streptophyta; Magnoliopsida; Fabales; Fabaceae.